Molecule: non-coding RNA, 76 nt
Organism: Myotis brandtii (Brandt's bat)
Lineage: Eukaryota; Metazoa; Chordata; Mammalia; Chiroptera; Vespertilionidae
Source: Rfam
AGUGGUUCUCAGGUGAUGCACCCCGGAAUUGGGCUCCCUCCUCUCUGGUUCUGGGGUGCAUCACCAGAAAACUGCC